AAUUAUUUAAUCAGAUAUAUUGCGGAAACAUCAUAUGCCAACAACAAAUGACAUCUCAAGAAGUAAAUAACCGUAAAAAGUGACAUGAAUAAAUGGGUGUUUAAACUUUCAUCCAACUUCAGUAAAAAGUAAUAGUUUCCUAGUUCAUUAUGUGGUGAGAACAUGGUGUGACCACAACCCUUCCCGCAUGCUUGCUGAUACAUCAAUAUAACCCUGGAUCAAGACAAACCAGGGGUGAGAUUGAAUAAUCUCAGCAUGUGAAUUCUUUAACAAGUUAUUGGAAUAAAGUAAAUCUCUCAUUAAAAUUAAUAUAAGUAGAACAACACUUUCAUGGUUUGCUCUCAAAUACUAUAAAGAACACUUCAUCACAAGUUACGGACGAUUUCUUAUGAAUGCAAAUGAAUGCACAUGCCAUGCCAUGCUCUUUCUCAACGUACUCCUUCUCAGGAACAUACAUACAGUGUUAUACCGGUAUAGUUACGACGUUGCGUGACAUAACUUCCAAUGCAUGAUAUGCAAAUAUGCUCGAUACAUGAUAAUUGUUUGCUUACUCAACCAGCAUUCUCAGUCUCUUACUCAUUCUAAUGAUAUAGAAGAUAAAUAGCAAUAACAUAAACUUCGGGUGUAGAAAAUAUUAAAGAAGGUAAGUCAUGAUAAUAUUAUGCAAUUAUAAAUAUGUGGAGGCCACUGAUAAAAAGUUAAAGAGGUAAUAACAUCCCUACAUCCACUUGCCUUCACCGACGAAGAUUAUGGGCUCUAGUUGUGACCCAAAUUAGAACCAUGUGUGCAAGAGUUAUUUUAACCACAAAUACAAGAGAUAAAACUCGCAACAUAUAUACAUACACACUUCCUACGUCGUAAACCCACCCAAAACUGAACUAUAAAAAUAAAGCACGGAUCUACCAAAAAGAGCAACAUGACUUAACAAUUCUGCAUCUUUAAUUCCACAUCACAUAAUAUAGUAAAUAAUAUUAUUUAUAAAAAUUAUAGAAUUAUAUCUAAAACUUUUAUUUAGUCACCACAGUGAAAUGCUAUCAUUUAAAUGUCCUAAAUAUAGACGCAAAACAUUGAACUGUGCUGAUCAAGAAAACAACACAGCACCUAAUCAAAAAGGCACUUACCACAAACCACGAGAUAAAGAAUAACAAGAUCUACAUUUUUCAUAAUUGUGAUAUGCUCUGAUUCAAACAUUAAGAACCUCUAAUAGCCCUCAGAACUUUGACAACAAAAGAAAACAUAAUAAACCAACUUCUAAAAAUCAUGACAGAUGAAACAUAAAAGAUAAAAUAACGCCCUAUGGUAACAAUGUUAAUUACAUUGUUAUCGACGACUUCUGUAUAAACACUUUUUUAGGGAAAAAAGUUUAGACCCCGUAAUAAAAAAAACAAAAACAUCAUAAAUCUGUCAACGCACAAAACUAGCAAUCCAAAUAUAAACGUCUUAAUCUUUCCUCUACCAUUCCUUAACAAUGACAUUACCCAAAUAAACAUGUCUAAAACAACGCCUCGAACAAGGGUAAAGCUCACCUUGAGUUUCAUGAAUAAUCCACAAGGAGAUUAUGGGAAACAUGGAUCUAACACAUCUUCCUACUCCUCUCCUCUUCGUUCCAUUUUUCUACUUCACGUCUUGAUCCACGCUCACAUGGCGGAGAUCUAUGUUGGAGAAGGUGUUGCACAGGAGAGGGAGAAGACCAAACAGUGGCGGCUUGAGGGGAAGGGGGAAUCUG
RNAcentral lists this long non-coding RNA (1726 nucleotides) under Oryza brachyantha (malo sina). RNAcentral describes it as "long non-coding RNA (OBRA_LNC000846)". The record is from RNAcentral. Lineage: Eukaryota; Viridiplantae; Streptophyta; Magnoliopsida; Poales; Poaceae.